GGGGGGUCUCAGGUGAGUCCAGGGGGAUUCCAGGUGAGUCCAGGGCAGCCCAAGUGACUCCAGAGGGUCCCCAGGUGACUCCAGGGGGGUCUCAGGUGACUCCAGGGGGGUCUCAGGUGAGUCCAGAGGGGUCCCAGGUGAGUCUGGGGGGGCCCAGGUGAGCCCAGGUGAGUCCAGGGUGGGCCCAGGUGAGUCCAGGGGGUCCCAGGUGACUCCAGGGGGUCCCCAGGUGACUCCAGGGGAUCCCAGGUGAGGCCAGGUGACUCCAGGGGGUCCCCAGGUGACUCCAGGGGGUCCCAGGUGAGUCCAGGGGGUCCCCAGGUGAGUCCAGGGGGUCCCCAGGUGACUCCAGAAGGGUCCCAGGUGACUCCAGGGGAUCCCAGGUGAGCCCAGGUGACUCCAGGGGGGCCCAGGUGAGUCCAGGGGGGUCCCAGGUGACUCCAGGGGAUCCCAGGUGACUCCAGGGGAUCCCAGGUGACUCCAGGGUGGGCCCAGGUGAGUCCAGGUGAUUCCAGGUGAGUCCAGGGGGUCCCCUACGUGCCACGGGGCUCGGGGUGACUCUUGAGCCCCCCGUGUCUCCUCAUGUGCCACGUCAGGGACGCGCGCUGGCGGCAGCGGUACCCGCACACCUCGC
Poecile atricapillus (Black-capped chickadee) is the source of this 634-nucleotide long non-coding RNA. RefSeq lists it as uncharacterized. The record is from RefSeq and is a predicted model, not a curated record. NCBI's taxonomy places the organism in Eukaryota, Metazoa, Chordata, Aves, Passeriformes, Paridae. The transcript has 4 exons.